GACGAACGCUGGCGGCGUGCUUAACACAUGCAAGUCGAACGGAAAGGCCCCUUUGGGGGUACUCGAGUGGCGAACGGGUGAGUAACACGUGAGUAACCUGCCCUUUACUUCGGGAUAACUUCAGGAAACUGGGGCUAAUACCGGAUAGGAAUCCUUGCUGCAUGGUGGGGGUUGGAAAGCUUCGACGGUUUUGGAUGGACUCGCGGCUUAUCAGCUUGUUGGUGGGGUAGUGGCUUACCAAGGCUUUGACGGGUAGCCGGCCUGAGAGGGCGACCGGCCACAUUGGGACUGAGAUACGGCCCAGACUCCUACGGGAGGCAGCAGUGGGGAAUAUUGCACAAUGGGCGGAAGCCUGAUGCAGCAACGCCGCGUGCGGGAUGACGGCCUUCGGGUUGUAAACCGCUUUCAGCAGGGGCGAAGCUUGUGGUGACGGUACCUGCAGAAGAAGCACCGGCUAACUACGUG
Molecule: ribosomal RNA, 465 nt
Filed under: uncultured bacterium
Lineage: Bacteria
Description: partial 16S ribosomal RNA
Rfam family: Bacterial small subunit ribosomal RNA
Source: RNAcentral